RNAcentral lists this ribosomal RNA (253 nucleotides) under uncultured bacterium. RNAcentral describes it as "partial 16S ribosomal RNA". It matches the Rfam family "Bacterial small subunit ribosomal RNA", at positions 524 to 776 of the family's 1533-position model. The record is from RNAcentral.
GACGAACCGUCCGAACGUUGUUCGGAAUUACUGGGCGUAAAGCGCACGUAGGCGGAUUAGAAAGUCAGAGGUGAAAUCCCAGGGCUCAACCUUGGAACUGCCUUUGAAACUCCUAGUCUUGAGGUCGAGAGAGGUGAGUGGAAUUCCGAGUGUAGAGGUGAAAUUCGUAGAUAUUCGGAGGAACACCAGUGGCGAAGGCGGCUCACUGGCUCGAUACUGACGCUGAGGUGCGAAAGCGUGGGGAGCAAACAGG